Molecule: unclassified non-coding RNA, 240 nt
Filed under: soil metagenome
Description: partial contains 5.8S ribosomal RNA, internal transcribed spacer 2, and large subunit ribosomal RNA
Source: RNAcentral
AAGACUAUAGACCUGCGGAGUACCUGCGGAGGGAUCAUUAUCGAGUUUUGAAACGGGUUGUAGCUGGCCUUCCGAGGCAUGUGCACGCCCUGCUCAUCCACUCUACACCUGUGCACUUACUGUGGGUUUCAGGAGCUUCACGGGCUUUCAUUAGUCCGGGUUGUAACUGGGCCUACGUUUACUACAAACUCUUGUAAAGUAUCAGAAUGUGUAUUGCGAUGUAACGCAUCUAUAUACAAC